AGAGUUUGAUCAUGGCUCAGAUUGAACGCUGGCGGCAUGCCUUACACAUGCAAGUCGAACGGUAACGCGGGGCAACCUGGCGACGAGUGGCGAACGGGUGAGUAAUGCAUCGGAACGUGCCCAGUAGUGGGGGAUAGCCCGGCGAAAGCCGGAUUAAUACCGCAUACGACCUACGGGUGAAAGGGGGGGAUCGCAAGACCUCUCGCUAUUGGAGCGGCCGAUGUCAGAUUAGGUAGUUGGUGGGGUAAAGGCCUACCAAGCCGACGAUCUGUAGCUGGUCUGAGAGGACGACCAGCCACACUGGGACUGAGACACGGCCCAGACUCCUACGGGAGGCAGCAGUGGGGAAUUUUGGACAAUGGGCGCAAGCCUGAUCCAGCCAUGCCGCGUGCGGGAAGAAGGCCUUCGGGUUGUAAACCGCUUUUGUCAGGGAAGAAACGCUCUGGGUUAAUACCUCGGGGUAAUGACGGUACCUGAAGAAUAAGCACCGGCUAACUACGUGCCAGCAGCCGCGGUAAUACGUAGGGUGCAAGCGUUAAUCGGAAUUACUGGGCGUAAAGCGUGCGCAGGCGGUUUUGUAAGACAGAGGUGAAAUCCCCGGGCUUAACCUGGGAACUGCCUUUGUGACUGCAAGGCUUGAGUGCGGCAGAGGGGGAUGGAAUUCCGCGUGUAGCAGUGAAAUGCGUAGAUAUGCGGAGGAACACCGAUGGCGAAGGCAAUCCCCUGGGCCUGCACUGACGCUCAUGCACGAAA
This 753-nucleotide ribosomal RNA is filed under the name uncultured bacterium. RNAcentral's name for it is "bacterial SSU rRNA". It matches the Rfam family "Bacterial small subunit ribosomal RNA", at positions 8 to 758 of the family's 1533-position model. The record is from RNAcentral.